Molecule: ribosomal RNA, 433 nt
Filed under: uncultured bacterium
Lineage: Bacteria
Description: bacterial SSU rRNA
Rfam family: Bacterial small subunit ribosomal RNA
Source: RNAcentral
AACGAACGCUGGCGGCAGGCCUAACACAUGCAAGUCGAGCGAGGACUUCGGUCCUAGCGGCGGACGGGUGAGUAACGCGUGGGAACGUGCCCUUUGGUACGGAAUAGCCCCCGGGAAACUGGGAGUAAUACCGUAUGGUGUCUUCGGACUAAAGAUUUAUCGCCAAAGGAUCGGCCCGCGUUGGAUUAGGUAGUUGGUGGGGUAAUGGCCUACCAAGCCGACGAUCCAUAGCUGGUUUGAGAGGAUGAUCAGCCACACUGGGACUGAGACACGGCCCAGACUCCUACGGGAGGCAGCAGUGGGGAAUCUUAGACAAUGGGGGCAACCCUGAUCUAGCCAUGCCGCGUGAGUGAUGAAGGCCCUAGGGUUGUAAAGCUCUUUCAGCUGGGAAGAUAAUGACGGUACCAGCAGAAGAAGCCCGGCUAACUCCGUG